GACGAACGCUGACGGCGUGCCUAAUACAUGCAAGUCGAGCGCAGGAAACUGACGGAACUCUUCGGAGGGAAGGCAGUGGAAUGAGCGGCGGACGGGUGAGUAACACGUAAGGAACCUGCCUCAAGGAUUGGGAAAACUCCGAGAAAUCGGAGCUAAUACCGGAUAGUUCAACGGACCGCAUGGUCCGCUGAUGAAAGGCGCUUCGGCGUCACCUUGAGAUGGCCUUGCGGUGCAUUAGCUAGUUGGUGGGGUAACGGCCCACCAAGGCGACGAUGGAUAGCCGACCUGAGAGGGUGAUCGGCCACACGGGGACUGAGACAAGGCCCAGACUCCUACGGGAGGCAGCAGUAGGGAAUCUUCCACAAUGGACGAAAGUCUGAUGGAGCAACGCCGCGUGAGUGAUGAAGGUUUUCGGAUCGUAAAACUCUGUUGUAAGGGAAGAACACGUACGAGAGGGAAUGCUCGUACCUUGACGGUACCUUACGAGAAAGCCACGGCUAACUACGUGCCAGCCGCCGCGGUAA
RNAcentral lists this ribosomal RNA (524 nucleotides) under uncultured bacterium. RNAcentral's name for it is "partial 16S ribosomal RNA". It matches the Rfam family "Bacterial small subunit ribosomal RNA", at positions 28 to 523 of the family's 1533-position model. The record is from RNAcentral.